This 193-nucleotide microRNA precursor is filed under the name Oryza glumipatula. RNAcentral's name for it is "MIR812 microRNA precursor family". It matches the Rfam family "MIR812 microRNA precursor family". The record is from Rfam by way of RNAcentral. Lineage: Eukaryota; Viridiplantae; Streptophyta; Magnoliopsida; Poales; Poaceae.
AAUAGAUGACACCGUUAACUUUUUCUCACAUGUUUGACCAUUCGUCUUAUUCAAAAAAUUUACGUAAUUAUAAUUUAUUUUAUCAUGAGUUGUUUUAUCAAUCAUAGUAUUUUAAGUAUGAUUUAAUUACGUAAAUUUUUUGAAUAAGACGAAUGGUCAAACAUGUGAGAAAAAGUCAACGGCGUCAUCUAUU